Molecule: ribosomal RNA, 253 nt
Filed under: uncultured bacterium
Lineage: Bacteria
Description: partial 16S ribosomal RNA
Rfam family: Bacterial small subunit ribosomal RNA
Source: RNAcentral
UACGAAGGGAGCUAGCGUUGUUCGGAAUCACUGGGCGUAAAGCGCACGUAGGCGGAUAGUUAAGUCAGGGGUGAAAUCCUGGGGCUCAACCCCAGAACUGCCUUUGAUACUGGCUGUCUCGAGGUCGAGAGAGGUUGGUGGAAUUCCUAGUGUAGAGGUGAAAUUCGUAGAUAUUAGGAAGAACACCAGUGGCGAAGGCGGCCAACUGGCUCGAUACUGACGCUGAGGUGCGAAAGCGUGGGGAGCAAACAGG